UUUGAUUCAAGGUGGUCGAAU
This 21-nucleotide non-coding RNA is filed under the name Caenorhabditis elegans. Lineage: Eukaryota; Metazoa; Nematoda; Chromadorea; Rhabditida; Rhabditidae. The record is from RNAcentral.